AGAGUUUGAUCAUGGCUCAGAACGAACGUUGGCGGCGUGGAUUAGGCAUGCAAGUCGAACGAGGACCAGGGCUGUAGCAAUACAGACCUGGGGAAAGUGGCGAAAGGGGCAGUAAUGCGUGGAUAACCUACCCCCCGGUCGUGGAUAGCCAUUCUAACGGAUGGGUAAUACGCGACGUCGUGACGUUGGGACAUCCCGAUGUCAUGAAAGAUUUAUCGCCGGGGGAGGGGUUCACGUGCUAUUAGCUUGUUGGUGAGGUAACGGCUCACCAAGGCUAAGAUGGCUAGCGGGUGUGAGAGCACGACCCGCGCCACUGGCACUGAGACACUGGCCAGACUCCUACGGGAGGCUGCAGUCGAGGAUCUUCGGCAAUGGGCGCAAGCCUGACCGAGCGACGCCGCGUGCGCGAUGAAGGCCUUCGGGUUGUAAAGCGCUGUCGAGGGGGAGGAAGUCCGUCGUAAGGCGGAUUGACCUAUCCCUGAGAG
Molecule: ribosomal RNA, 485 nt
Filed under: uncultured Gemmata sp.
Lineage: Bacteria; Pseudomonadati; Planctomycetota; Planctomycetia; Gemmatales; Gemmataceae
Description: bacterial SSU rRNA
Rfam family: Bacterial small subunit ribosomal RNA
Source: RNAcentral